GUGAUUUGUAAGGGUUUCAAAAUUACACUGGCUAAUAUGAAACAGAGCCAGGAGAAAACCGUAAUUUCUGGAAUCUAUUCUGAUGCUCCUUCUACAACAUAAAAAGAUAUUCCAUAUACAAAGUCCAAGCAUUUUGAAGUCCCAGAUCACACAUACAGGUCAGAAAUGAACUGAAAAUCAUAGAUUUGCCCCAUUGGCAAUCAUGAGAACUCUACUUGAAAGCAUUGUCUGAAAGUAGUCUUUUCAAUUUUUACAAAAAUGCGUCGAGAUUCAACUGUGAAGUACUGGGCACCUAGUGUGCACCAAGAAUCUCCUGUGUCAGUUGCUCUCAUAGCCCAUGACGCCCUCCAACCCACUGAGGAAGCAGUAAUAGUAUAUUCCUCUUUUACAGAUAGGAAGAGAGGAGUUCACAGAAGACAACUGACCAAUUCUAGGUCAGAGAACUGGCAAACCACAACCAAACCCUUAGCCAGGUCUCCUGACUUCCAGUUCAGGAGUCUCUGGUUCAAGCUAGGAUACAUCAGGAUCAUUGUCUACCAAUUAGAAGGAAAGAGUGAAGACAGCCUAGAAAGUAAGAGUUGAUAAUUAGAAAAUGGCUUAAAAAGGGGUUACAGGGAUUCAUAUAAUCUGAUCAAGAUACUAUACAGCAAAUAGUCCUUAACCUCAUCCCUCAUCAUGGAAUAGAGUUCUAGAAUCCAGACAAGGGCAGAAGCUAUUCCAACCUGAGUCUUAACCACCUUGACCUUAAUAGAAUGCUUUCAUGAUUGCUAGAAGUGUCUUACCCUUUAAUAAUUAAUUGCACAGACCUCAUAAACUGGAUAAGCCUGACUUCACAUGAGUGAGCUACUUUACUGCCCUUCAUAUAAUUUUACUGAUUUCUACAAUCUCAUUUCAUAAUAGUAAUGCUCUCCUUAAGAAAGCAGAGUGAGCUUGGAGGUCUUUCUCACAUUAAUAUAUGCAUAUGUAGGGGGGCAAAAUGCAAAAUCUUCUCAUGUUAGAUAUGCUUUCUCAAAAAAGGAAGCAACAUUGUUUUUACAUUGAACUAAGCCUCUAUUUAAAAUCUAAAAAGUAAAAUUGAAGGAAAACUGCAUAGGAGGCCUAAUGUGAUAGAAAUGAGCUGGGCCUGCCUCUGAUAGUCUUUCUCUACAAUGGGUAAUUUGUUUCUUGGAAGAUGCUUUCCCUCAAACCAUCAGAUAGGAAUUGUAACUUCAAACAAAAGUAAAAAAGAACCCCAUUUUGGACAAAGUAGAGGAGAGAUCAAUAGCCCAGCUUCCGGUUUCAUAAAGCAAAGGGAUUUACUGUCAAAGACUUUGAGGACACGGCUGUGUGUUUUAGUCAGGUUUUUCACUGCUGUGACUGAAAGACCUGACCAGAUCAAUUAUAGGGGAGAAAGAGUUCAUGGUUUCAGAGGUCUCAGUCCAUAGACACCGUGCUCCAUUUCUUAGGGCUUUAGAUGAGGCAGAACAUCGUGGAAGAAGAGUGUGAUGGAGGGAAGCAGCUCACAUGGUGAUCAGGAAGCAGAGAGAGGACACCACGUGCCACAUACAAAUAUAUACCCCAAAGCCACAACCCCAAGGAGUAGUGUCUAGUCUUCCCUUCUGUAUCCACUUGAGAACCAAACUAGUUUUUAUAGCACUACAGUAGGUCACUACCACUCUUCCAACUGUUACUCCUCUCAUGGGGAUGGAGGAUAAUCAGAACACUUUAUUUUAUGUUUGAGUCCCGACUAUAUCUACCCUUCAUGUUGAAGAGCUAACUCAUU
Molecule: long non-coding RNA, 1762 nt
Filed under: Marmota monax (woodchuck)
Lineage: Eukaryota; Metazoa; Chordata; Mammalia; Rodentia; Sciuridae
Source: RNAcentral